AUUGAACGCUGGCGGCAGGCCUAACACAUGCAAGUCGAGCGCGAAAGUUCUUCGGAAUGAGUAAAGCGGCGGACGGGUGAGUAAUACAUGGGAAUCUGCCUGGUAGUGGGGGACAACGUUUCGAAAGGAACGCUAAUACCGCAUACGUCCUACGGGAGAAAGCAGGGGACCUUCGGGCCUUGCGCUAUCAGAUGAGCCUA
RNAcentral lists this ribosomal RNA (200 nucleotides) under uncultured bacterium. RNAcentral's name for it is "partial 16S ribosomal RNA". It matches the Rfam family "Bacterial small subunit ribosomal RNA", at positions 30 to 233 of the family's 1533-position model. The record is from RNAcentral.